Long non-coding RNA from Athene cunicularia (burrowing owl), 123 nucleotides. RefSeq lists it as uncharacterized. The record is from RefSeq and is a predicted model, not a curated record. Lineage: Eukaryota; Metazoa; Chordata; Aves; Strigiformes; Strigidae. The transcript is spliced from 3 exons.
CACUGGAGCAGCCUUCCUGGCUGAGACAGAGAGCUGGUCCUGCUUCGAGCAGGGACCUGCACCAGGUGAGCUUGGAGGUCCCGUCCUGUGCAGUUCUGCCAGUCUACGCUGGAGAUCAGGGUG